GACAGAGGGUGCAAACGUUGCUCGGAAUCACUGGGCGUAAAGGGCGUGUAGGCGGGAAGGAAAGUCAGAUGUGAAAUCCCUGGGCUCAACCCAGGAACUGCAUUUGAAACUCCCUUUCUUGAGUGUCGGAGAGGAAAGUGGAAUUCCUGGUGUAGAGGUGAAAUUCGUAGAUAUCAGGAGGAACACCGGUGGCGAAGGCGGCUUUCUGGACGACAACUGACGCUGAGACGCGAAAGCGUGGGGAGCGAACAGG
RNAcentral lists this ribosomal RNA (253 nucleotides) under uncultured bacterium. RNAcentral's name for it is "partial 16S ribosomal RNA". It matches the Rfam family "Bacterial small subunit ribosomal RNA", at positions 524 to 776 of the family's 1533-position model. The record is from RNAcentral.